Molecule: ribosomal RNA, 497 nt
Filed under: uncultured bacterium
Lineage: Bacteria
Description: partial 16S ribosomal RNA
Rfam family: Bacterial small subunit ribosomal RNA
Source: RNAcentral
GAUGAACGCUGGCGGCGUGCCUAAUACAUGCAAGUCGGGCGAACGGACGAGAAGCUUGCUUCUCUGAUGUUAGCGGCGGACGGGUGAGUAACACGUGGAUAACCUACCUAUAAGACUGGGAUAACUUCGGGAAACCGGAGCUAAUACCGGAUAAUAUUUUGAACCGCAUGGUUCAAAAGUGAAAGACGGUCUUGCUGUCACUUAUAGCUGGAUCCGCGCUGCAUUAGCUAGUUGGUAAGGUAACGGCUUACCAAGGCAACGAGGCAUAGCCGACCUGAGAGGGUGAUCGGCCACACUGGAACUGAGACAGGGUCCAGACGCCUACGGGAGGCAGCAGUAGGGAAUCGUCCGCAAUGGGGGAAAGCCUGACGGAGCAACGCCGCGUGAGUGAUGAAGGUCUUCGGAUCGUAAAACUCUGUUAUUAGGGAAGAACAUAUGUGUAAGUAACUGUGCACAUCUUGACGGUACCUAAUCAGAAAGCCACGGCUAACUACGUG